RNAcentral lists this ribosomal RNA (710 nucleotides) under Actinomycetales bacterium TLI096. RNAcentral describes it as "bacterial SSU rRNA". It matches the Rfam family "Bacterial small subunit ribosomal RNA", at positions 162 to 884 of the family's 1533-position model. The record is from RNAcentral. Lineage: Bacteria; Bacillati; Actinomycetota; Actinomycetes; Actinomycetales.
UCUAAUACCGGAUAUGACCUUCCUCCGCAUGGGGGUUGGUGGAAAGCUCCGGCGGUGCAGGAUGAGCCCGCGGCCUAUCAGCUUGUUGGUGGGGUAAUGGCCUACCAAGGCGACGACGGGUAGCCGGCCUGAGAGGGCGACCGGCCACACUGGGACUGAGACACGGCCCAGACUCCUACGGGAGGCAGCAGUGGGGAAUAUUGCACAAUGGGCGAAAGCCUGAUGCAGCGACGCCGCGUGAGGGAUGACGGCCUUCGGGUUGUAAACCUCUUUCAGCAGGGAAGAAGCGCAAGUGACGGUACCUGCAAAAGAAGCACCGGCUAACUACGUGCCAGCAGCCGCGGUAAUACGUAGGGUGCGAGCGUUGUCCGGAAUUAUUGGGCGUAAAGAGCUCGUAGGCGGCCUGUCGCGUCGGAUGUGAAAGCCCGGGGCUUAACCCCGGGUCUGCAUUCGAUACGGGCAGGCUAGAGUGUGGUAGGGGAGAUCGGAAUUCCUGGUGUAGCGGUGAAAUGCGCAGAUAUCAGGAGGAACACCGGUGGCGAAGGCGGAUCUCUGGGCCAUUACUGACGCUGAGGAGCGAAAGCGUGGGGAGCGAACAGGAUUAGAUACCCUGGUAGUCCACGCCGUAAACGUUGGGAACUAGGUGUUGGCGACAUUCCACGUCGUCGGUGCCGCAGCUAACGCAUUAAGUUCCCCGCCUGGGGAGUACG